This 18-nucleotide non-coding RNA is filed under the name Meyerozyma guilliermondii. RNAcentral also lists the same sequence under 281 other names. The record is from RNAcentral. Lineage: Eukaryota; Fungi; Ascomycota; Pichiomycetes; Serinales; Debaryomycetaceae.
CCUGCGGAAGGAUCAUUA